AAUUUAUAACAUUGCGCGGAUGUAAUUAGUUCGUUUGAAUGCACACCGUUUAUUUAAAUAAAACUUUAGUUAGUGCCCGAUUAAAUAAACUUUUGGUGAUUGGAUUCAUUUAUUCGAACGUGAACUACUAUUAUAUCAUUUUUCAUAAUCUCCUACUUCCAUAUUGUGUUAUGACUUCCAGUUUCUGAUGACUUCUUCUGGACCAAGGUUUCGCCUUACGUACUCUGUUUUACACCUUAAAAAGGAAAGAAGAGAAAAAGGAGGAUCGAACUAGGGGAGAGAUAGAAAAUUAAGCAGCCAGCAGCAAUGAAACUUCUAGCUACUACCUGGCUAACAGUUUAAGUAGAACAAGGAAGAUGAGUCAGACGGUGAACGCAUCCGUUUCGAUAAUAAUUGGUGAAUAGAAAAUGCACGAUUGCAAUAAAUAUUUGACACAGACAGUCGAUCGUAAUCCUUUCGAAAUCUACAAAUUGGAUCCAUGCACAUCUUAAGAAGAUGCAGAUUAAGUCUCGAAACAUCCGACAGACUACAGCGAAGUCCUUCGGGUGAGAAAUAGUCCGAUCUACAAAAUAUAUUUGGUUUUUAGAGAUAAUGUACAGUUGGCGUGUGAGUUUGAAACUAGA
Bombus pyrosoma is the source of this 623-nucleotide long non-coding RNA. RefSeq lists it as uncharacterized. Lineage: Eukaryota; Metazoa; Arthropoda; Insecta; Hymenoptera; Apidae. The record is from RefSeq and is a predicted model, not a curated record. The transcript has 4 exons.